AGAGUUUGAUCCUGGCUCAGGAUGAACGCUGGCGGCGUGCUUAACACAUGCAAGUCGAACGAAGCACCUUGAUUUGAUUCUUCGGAUGAAGAUCUUGGUGACUGAGUGGCGGACGGGUGAGUAACGCGUGGGUAACCUGCCUCAUACAGGGGGAUAACAGUUAGAAAUGACUGCUAAUACCGCAUAAGACCACAGCACCGCAUGGUGCAGGGGUAAAAACUCCGGUGGUAUGAGAUGGACCCGCGUCUGAUUAGGUAGUUGGUGGGGUAACGGCCUACCAAGCCGACGAUCAGUAGCCGACCUGAGAGGGUGACCGGCCACAUUGGGACUGAGACACGGCCCAAACUCCUACGGGAGGCAGCAGUGGGGAAUAUUGCACAAUGGGGGAAACCCUGAUGCAGCGACGCCGCGUGAGCGAUGAAGUAUUUCGGUAUGUAAAGCUCUAUCAGCAGGGAAGAAAAUGACGGUACCUGACUAAGAAGCACCGGCUAAAUACGUGCCAGCAGCCGCGGUAAUACGUAUGGUGCAAGCGUUAUCCGGAUUUACUGGGUGUAAAGGGAGCGUAGACGGAGUGGCAAGUCUGAUGUGAAAACCCGGGGCUCAACCCCGGGACUGCAUUGGAAACUGUCAAUCUAGAGUACCGGAGAGGUAAGCGGAAUUCCUAGUGUAGCGGUGAAAUGCGUAGAUAUUAGGAGGAACACCAGUGGCGAAGGCGGCUUACUGGACGGUAACUGACGUUGAGGCUCGAAAGCGUGGGGAGCAAACAGGAUUAGAUACCCUGGUAGUCCACGCCGUAAACGAUGACUACUAGGUGUCGGGCAGCAAAGCUGUUCGGUGCCGCAGCAAACGCAAUAAGUAGUCCACCUGGGGAGUACGUUCGCAAGAAUGAAACUCAAAGGAAUUGAC
RNAcentral lists this ribosomal RNA (906 nucleotides) under uncultured Gram-positive bacterium. RNAcentral's name for it is "bacterial SSU rRNA". It matches the Rfam family "Bacterial small subunit ribosomal RNA", at positions 8 to 914 of the family's 1533-position model. The record is from RNAcentral.